This 500-nucleotide ribosomal RNA is filed under the name uncultured bacterium. Its description in RNAcentral is "partial 16S ribosomal RNA". It matches the Rfam family "Bacterial small subunit ribosomal RNA", at positions 28 to 507 of the family's 1533-position model. The record is from RNAcentral.
GACGAACGCUGGCGGCGUGCUUAACACAUGCAAGUCGAACGGGUCUGCCCUGUUUUUUGCGGGGUGGGUCAGUGGCGAACGGGUGAGUAACACGUGAGUAACCUGCCCCUCACUUCUGGAUAACCGCUUGAAAGGGUGGCUAAUACGGGGUGUUCUGGCUGUGCCGCAUGGUGUGGCUGGGAAAGAUUCACUUUUGUGGUGUUUUGGUGGGGGAUGGGCUCGCGGCCUAUCAGCUUGUUGGUGGGGUGAUGGCCUGCCAAGGCUUUGACGGGUAGCCGGCCUGAGAGGGUGGCCGGUCACACUGGGACUGAGCUACGGCCCAGACUCCUGCGGGAGGCAGCAGUGGGGGGUAUUGCACAAUGGGCGGAAGCCUGAUGCAGCGACGUCGCGUGAGGGAUGGAGGCCUUCGGGUUGUGAACCUCUUUCGCCGGUGAAGAAGGUCCUGCUCUUUGUGGUGGGGUUGACGGUAGCCGGGUUAUGAAGCGCCGGCUAACUACGUG